RNAcentral lists this transfer RNA (68 nucleotides) under Staphylinidae sp. BMNH 1274637. RNAcentral describes it as "tRNA-Asp". It matches the Rfam family "tRNA". From Rfam's summary of the family: Transfer RNA (tRNA) molecules are approximately 80 nucleotides in length. Their secondary structure includes four short double-helical elements and three loops (D, anti-codon, and T loops). Further hydrogen bonds mediate the characteristic L-shaped molecular structure. tRNAs have two regions of fundamental functional importance: the anti-codon, which is responsible for specific mRNA codon recognition, and the 3' end, to which the tRNAs corresponding amino acid is attached (by aminoacyl-tRNA synthetases). tRNAs cope with the degeneracy of the genetic code in two manners: having more than one tRNA (with a specific anti-codon) for a particular amino acid; and 'wobble' base-pairing, i.e. permitting non-standard base-pairing at the 3rd anti-codon position. Lineage: Eukaryota; Metazoa; Arthropoda; Insecta; Coleoptera; Staphylinidae. The record is from RNAcentral.
UAGAAUUUAGUUAAGUUAUAACAUUAGUUUGUCAAAUUAAAAUUACUAGUAAAAAUUAGUAAUUCUUA